Molecule: long non-coding RNA, 340 nt
Organism: Oncorhynchus tshawytscha (Chinook salmon)
Lineage: Eukaryota; Metazoa; Chordata; Actinopteri; Salmoniformes; Salmonidae
Source: Ensembl
GGCCUACCUGGUUAAAUAAAGGUGUUCUCAACUGGCCUACCUGGUUAAAUAAAGGUGUUCUCAACUGGCCUCCCUGGUUAAAUAAAGGUGUUCUCAACUGGCCUACCUGGUUAAAUAAAGGUGUUCUCAACUGGCCGACCUGGUUAAAUAAAGGUGUUCUCAACUGGCCUACCUGGUUAAAUAAAGGUGUUCUCAACUGGCCGACCUGGUUAAAUAAAGGUGUUCUCAACUAGCCUACCUGGUUAAAUAAAGGUGUUCUCAACUGGCCUACCUGGUUAAAUAAAGGUGUUCUCAACUGGCCUACCUGGUUAAAUAAAGGUGUUCUCAACUGGCCUACCUG